AAAGGGGUCAUGAAGAAAAAUCUUUUAAAAGGGACCAAUCAAGCAGAUGAAACUUUUGUUUUGUCCAGACAGUGGAUGUAAUUGAAAAAUGAAUAGAAUGACCAUGACAUAAUGGAUUUGACCGGGACAGAACUCACUCAGGUGAACUGUGAACAGUGGACGGUAAGAAAGGAGCAAGUGGCUAGGAUUUUUCAUAACAUAGUAAGUUUUUGCGGCACUGAAUCAUAAGCAGAUGCAUUUAUGUGGAUUUCUAGAGUGAGCCAGGACAAACUGAAGUGGAAAAUGAAUAUUUCUGGGCAUUUGCUUGCAACUGUCAUGUGCUGGAAUCAUAUGAGAUGGUAUCUUUAAUGAUAUCAACUCUACAAAGUGCAUAGCAUAGAUAGGAUGGUGAUCUCAUCCUAAGAUGUGAUGGCCCACUCAUUUUUCUUCUGGAAUAGUGCAUUGGGUGAAGGGUGAAGAGGAUGUGAACCAACUGGAGUACUCUUGAAUUGCUUGAGCAUAUCAGCUAGAAGACCUGACAGACGUUAGCAUUGAAUGGAUCUUCUUGAGUUGCAAACAAUCACCUAAGUUCCUUCAUGUUUUCAUGUUUUCUGCAGGAGGUCCGCUUACACCAGAAAGAGAUGAGAAAGGCUAGCAACAGUCAGUCAAGAUAAACAAAAUUAAAGUGGUGAAUGGAUAUUCCAAGGCUUCAGAGUUAAGACCAAUGCAUGGCAUGUCAUAUUCUGUUUUGCUGCUCUGUGCAUUGCCAUGCUACUCAAUGUUGUCUCAUGGCAUGCAUACCAAUUUCAUCAAGUCCUGAACUCAAAUGUCCAGGCAUGAUAUUUUAGUGAGUGAAUGCAUUAUGGAAAAAUAGAAUAUUUUCAAAAGCAACAUUGGUUUAUUUUACUUUGAUUUGGAGUCUCUACCUUUUAAAGUGCAAAACUUUUGGCAUGCAAUGUAUUUUAUCAAAUUAAGCAGAAGAGUACUGUGUAAAUGAUCAUGUGAGUUACCAAAACCUCGAUUCCAGAAUAUAUCGCCUGUACAUGAAGUUUCUGAAAUUGCUUAUAGUUGAAACACAUAUUUUGCUAGUCAUAUACCCUGUGAACCAGCUGUGAUGGUAGCAUCAACUAGAAUUCAUGUGUCCUGUGCAACUGAAAUUUAUGAAUGCUCCUUCUACAUGCCUCUAAUGAAAACUUACUGCAACUUUCUUGUUUCCAGUUUACCUAUUGAGAUAGUAUAUUGUAUGUUAUU
This 1230-nucleotide long non-coding RNA is filed under the name Phoenix dactylifera (date palm). RNAcentral describes it as "long non-coding RNA (PDAC_LNC000346)". Lineage: Eukaryota; Viridiplantae; Streptophyta; Magnoliopsida; Arecales; Arecaceae. The record is from RNAcentral.